GACGAACGCUGGCGGCGUGCCUAACACAUGCAAGUCGAACGGGGAUACAGGAGAGUGCUUGCACAAACCUGUAUUCUAGUGGCGGACGGGUGAGUAACGCGUGAACAAUCUGUGCAUGACAGGGGGACAACCCGGAGAAAUCCGAGCUAAUACCGCAUAAGACCCCGAGGUCGCAUGGCCUAGAGGUAAAAGGAGCAAUCCGGUCAUGGGUGAGUUCGCGUCCCAUUAGCUAGUUGGCAGGGUAAGAGCCUACCAAGGCGACGAUGGGUAGCCGGCCUGAGAGGGCGAACGGCCACACUGGGACUGAGACACGGCCCAGACUCCUACGGGAGGCAGCAGUGGGGAAUAUUGGGCAAUGGGCGAAAGCCUGACCCAGCAACGCCGCGUGAGGGAAGAAGGUUUUCGGAUUGUAAACCUCUGUCAUUCGGGAAGAAGGAAGUGACGGUACCGAAUGAGGAAGCCCCGGCUAACUACGUGCCAGCCGC
Molecule: ribosomal RNA, 485 nt
Filed under: uncultured bacterium
Lineage: Bacteria
Description: bacterial SSU rRNA
Rfam family: Bacterial small subunit ribosomal RNA
Source: RNAcentral